Molecule: long non-coding RNA, 548 nt
Organism: Corylus avellana
Lineage: Eukaryota; Viridiplantae; Streptophyta; Magnoliopsida; Fagales; Betulaceae
Source: RefSeq, a predicted model, not a curated record
GCCGGUAGGGUUAUUGAAAUACGAGUUGGGUUUGGCCGGUCCGGUUGCGUUUUUCGGUUGCUUUUUUUUUUAUUAUUAUUUUGAUUUUGAUUUUGAUUUUGUUGGGUCUCUGUUAGUUCGGCUAAUUGGGGUUUUGAGUUUGGGAAGAAGAGGGGAUUUGGAUUUGGAGUUUGGGUUUUAUUUUUUCUGGUUUGGUUGAUUGGGGAUGCUGGUUUUGUUUUUCUGGUUUUUUCUGGAUGAAGAAAAGAGGAAGAAGAACAAAAGAAAAUAGGGUUUGGGAGAAAGAAAGAAGAAACGGUCGGUGAUACUGGAUUUGGGGUGGGUCAAACUGGUUUGAGGCAAGACCCACGGCGCCGAGGGAAAGUCUUGGGAUUUUCUCUUUCUUUGCACCUUCUUCUUCAUCAUAUUCUUCUUAUAUAUUCUCUGCUUGUCAUUGUAUCUUAUAUUGUCUUGGAUUAGUUAAAUCAAGUUUUGAGCUUUGGACCCAGGAAAAAGAAGAGAAGAGGAAUUUGGAGUAUUUCACAGAGAAGAGGAAGAGAAGAGAAGAG